GUAAAAUACAUGGUUUUAAAAGUUAAGAAAGAUGGUUUGUCCGAUUUUAAAGUUUAGAGAGAAAAGGUGGACUUUCGCAAAAGUUAAGGAAGAAAAAUUAGACCUUUUUCUUUUUUUUCAUACGUCGACAAUAUAACCUCAUUUAUUUAGAAGCCCAAUUAAUAUUGAGCCCUACACAUGGUAUGUAUGUAGGCCAGAACGGCCAUUCUUGUCAGUCCACGUGCCGCAGGCUGCAGGUGAACAAGAUGCUUGGCCCAUUUAUGGUCGGCGACGACAAGAGGUCCACCGUCCACCACCACCACCGCAUGCCU
RNAcentral lists this long non-coding RNA (311 nucleotides) under Sorghum bicolor (sorghum). Its description in RNAcentral is "long non-coding RNA (SBIC_LNC011695)". Lineage: Eukaryota; Viridiplantae; Streptophyta; Magnoliopsida; Poales; Poaceae. The record is from RNAcentral.